RNAcentral lists this ribosomal RNA (459 nucleotides) under uncultured bacterium. RNAcentral's name for it is "partial 16S ribosomal RNA". It matches the Rfam family "Bacterial small subunit ribosomal RNA", at positions 338 to 795 of the family's 1533-position model. The record is from RNAcentral.
CCUACGGGAGGCAGCAGUGAGGAAUAUUGGUCAAUGGGCGUAAGCCUGAACCAGCCAAGUCGCGUGAGGGAUGAAGGUUCUAUGGAUCGUAAACCUCUUCUAUAAGGGAAUAAAGUGUGGGACGUGUCCUAUAUUGUAUGUACCUUAUGAAUAAGGAUCGGUUAACUCCGUGCCAGCAGCCGCGGUAAUACGGAGGUUGCGAGCGUUAUCCGGAUUUGUUGGGUUAAAGGGGUGCGUAGGCGGGCAUUUAAGCCGGCGGUCAAAUGUCGGGGCUCAACUCCGGCCUGCCGUCGGAACUGGGUGCCUUGAGUGGGCGAGAAGUAUGCGGAAUGCGUGGUGUAGCGGUGAAAUGCAUAGAUAUCACGCAGAACCCCGAUUGCGAAGGCAGCAUACCGGCGCCCUACUGACGCUGAGGCACGAAAGUGCGGGUAUCGAACAGGAUUAGAUACCCCAGUAGUC